RNAcentral lists this long non-coding RNA (571 nucleotides) under Mytilus galloprovincialis (Mediterranean mussel). The record is from RNAcentral. Lineage: Eukaryota; Metazoa; Mollusca; Bivalvia; Mytilida; Mytilidae.
GUUAUAUAUAUGCACUAGAAUAGUCACAACUGUUAUGCAAUUGUUUUUAAAUCUCAAUUUGCUGAAAAUCCCGGGAUCACUGCAAGCUUGUGUAUCGCGCAUGAAUAGAUUACAAAAGUAGUUUCGGAAACAUGGUUUAUCGAAGUGUAAACUGAGAGAAAAAUUCUAAUUGACCAAUCCAAUUCAAGUAUUUAUAGAUAUGCAAAUCAUAUAAGAAUUAUAAAUUUCUACUUUGUAAACAUUCUCAUAUAUGGGCAUACACGAUUCAUAUCAUUAUUUGUAUGAAUCCUGUAAGCUGUAUUUGGUUUUGGAAUGAGGUGUUUUAUUCUUUGUUAGUAGAAAUACGAUGUGUAGAAAAAUUUACGGUUCGAGUAUCUUUUCAAAAGGGUGGUUUAGUAAAAAAAAAUUUGCUAUGAAAGAUUUAUUGAAAUCUGUGAUUUCUACAUUGAUAAUAUAUAUAGUAAUAUAUGACAAGACCAAUGAUAAUAUUAUAUGUUAUUCAGGUCUCAGACAGGGUAUAUACUGUGACAUUCCCGGCUUAGAGUUUAUAUCCCCUGAGUCGAAGGCAAAG